RNAcentral lists this ribosomal RNA (860 nucleotides) under uncultured eukaryote. RNAcentral describes it as "bacterial SSU rRNA". It matches the Rfam family "Eukaryotic small subunit ribosomal RNA", at positions 564 to 1470 of the family's 1831-position model. The record is from RNAcentral.
GUGCCAAGCAGCCGCGGUAAUUCCAGCUCCAAUAGCGUAUACUAAUGCUGUUGCUGUUAAAAAGUUCGUAUUUCGAUAAGGAUUGAUUCUGGUUCAGAUUCAGUGGACCUGAUAAUAUCGUGCCGCAGUCAGUUCCUUCGGGUUAUGCUGUGGUACUAAGCUCUAGUUUACCGGUAUUAACAGGGAUGAACGGAGCAGUGUGUAUUGGCUCGCGAGAGGUGAAAUUCAUAGACCGUGCCAAGAAAAACGUAAGCGAAGGCAUUCUGCAAGUAUAUCUUCACUAAUCAAGAACGAGAGUACAGGGAUCGAAGAUGAUCAGAUACCGUCGUAGUCUGCUACUGUAAACGAUGCGAACUCGGGAUCAACCGUCGCCAAUCUUUUCGAUUACCAGGCUGGAACCUACUUAUUUCUCCCAGCGUGAGUUUAUGCGUUCAGGGGGAGUACAGUUGCAAGGCUGAAACUUAAAGGAAUUGAGUUUAUACGUUCAGUGGGAGUACAGUUGCAAGGCUGAAACUUAAAGGAAUUGACGGAAUGACACCACAAGGCGUGGAUGAUGCGGUUUAAUUUGACUCAACACGGGGAAUCUCACCAGGUCAGGACGCAUGUUGGAUUCACAGAUUGAAAGCUCUUUCUUGAUUAUGUGUAUGGUGGUGCAUGGCCGCUCCUGGUUGGUGGAGUAAUUUGUCUGGUUGAUUCCGUUAACGAACGAGAUCUUGUCCCUUCAAUGACAGUUUGAUCGUAUCUGUAAUCCAGUCGACGUGCUUGCAUGCCUGCACUGAAUGAGAUCUUGUCUUGUACUCAAGGGGACGAUGCAUGUUGACAAUGCAUGGAAGUGCGAGCCAAUAGCAGGUCUGUGAUGC